AUGAACGCUAGCGGCAGGCUUAAUACAUGCAAGUUGAGGGGCAGCAUGAUAUACGCGAGUAUAUUGAUGGCGACCGGCGGACGGGUGAGUAAUAGGUAGGAGACCUACCUCAUACAGGGGGAUAGCAUAGAGAAAUCUGUGGUAAUACCCCAUGAGGUUAUAUGAAUAGAGGCAUAUAAUCAAAGCAUAAGCGAUUAUGCGGUAUGAGAGGGGCCUACUGACCAUUAGCUAGUUGGUGAGGUAAGGGCUCACCAAGGCGAAGAUGGUUAGGGGUUUUGAGAGAGAGACCCCCCACAUUGGAACUGAGAGACGGUCCAGACUCCUACGGGAGGCAGCAGUAGGGAAUAUUGGGCAAUGGGCGAAAGCCUGACCCAGCCAUGCCGCGUGAAGGAAGACGGCCUUAUGGGUUGUAAACUUCUUUACUACGCGAAUAGAGGAUAGUACGAGAUACUAAUAGGAAGGUAGUGUAGUAAAAAGCACCGGCUAACUCCGUG
Molecule: ribosomal RNA, 494 nt
Filed under: uncultured bacterium
Lineage: Bacteria
Description: bacterial SSU rRNA
Rfam family: Bacterial small subunit ribosomal RNA
Source: RNAcentral